CUAAAUAUUUUAUAUUAUCAGUAGUUACUUUAAAUGGAAUUUCUCUUUGUAACUCUGACUGUUGGAUUAUGUUAGUGAUAUAUAAGAAUGCUGAUGACUUAUGUGGGUUUAUUUUAUAACCAGCAACUUUGCUAAAGUUGUGGAUUAUUUCUAAUAACUUUUUAGCAGAAUCUCUGGGGUUCUCUAAGUAUACCAUCAUGUCAUCGGCAAAGAGUGAUAAUUUGGCUUCCUCAUUGCCUAUUCUUAUUCCUUUAAUCUCUUUCUCAGCUCUUAUUGCUAUAGCUAGCGUUUCUAAUACAAUAUUAAAUAGUAACGGUGAUAGUGGGCAACCUUGUUUCACUCCAGAUCUUAUUGGGAAUGGUUGCAGUUUGUCUCCAUUACAUAUGAUGCUUACUGAUGGUUUUAAAUAGAUGCUGCUGAUUAUUUUAAGGAAAAGUCCAUUUAUUCCUAUACUCUCAAGUGUUUUUAAUAGGAAUGGAUGUUGGAUUUUAUCAAAGGCUUUUUCUGCAUCUAUUGAGAUGAUCAUAUGGUUUUGUUAGAUUUGGUUAUUAACAUGGCCAAUUAUAUUGAUAGUUUUCCUAAUAUUGAACCAGCCCUGCAUUCCUGGUAUAAAUCCUACUUGAUCAUAGUGCAUUAUCUUGGAGAUGAUUUUCUGUAGUCUUUUUGCUAAUAUCUUAUUUAAGAUUUUAGCACCAAUAUUCAUUAGGGAGAUUGGUCUAUAAUUUUCUUUCUCUGUUUUCAGCCUACCUGGUUUAGGUAUCAGUACCAUGUCUGUGUCAUAGAAGGAAUUUGGCAGGACUCCUUCAUUCCCUAUUUUAUCAAAUAAUUUAUAUAGCAUUGGGGCCAAUUGUUCUUUAAAUGUUUGGUAAAAUUCACAUGUAAAUCCAUCUGGUCCUUGGGAUUUUUUCUUAGGGAGUUGUUUAAUUGCCUGUUCUAUUUCUUUUUCUGAAAUGGGACUAUUCAAGCAAUUUACUUCCUCCUCUGUUAGCCUGGGAAGUCUGUAUUUUUGGAGGUAGUCAUUCAUUUCACUUAGGUUAUCAAAUUUAUUGGCAUAAAGUUGAGCAAAAUAACUCCUUAUUAUUUUUCUAAUUUCCUCUUCAUUGGUGGAAAGUUCUCCCUUUUCAUUUUUAAGACUACUAAUUUCAUUUUCCUCCCUCCUUUUUCUAAUCAGAUUUACCAAAGGCUUAUCAAUUUUAUUGGCUUUUUCAUAGAACCAACUCUUUGUUUUAUUAAUUAGCUCAAUAGUUUUUUUACUUUCAAUAUUUUUAAUUUCUCCUUUUAAUUUUAGAAUUUCCAAUUUAGUAUUUGAUUGGGGGUUUUUAAUUUGGUCUUUUUUUAAUUUUUUUAGUUGCAAGCCCAAUUCAUUAAUCUUUUCUUUCUCUGUUUUAUUCAAGUAAGCCUCUAAGGAUAUAAAAUUCCCUCUUAUUACCGCUUUGGCUGCAUCCCAC
Molecule: long non-coding RNA, 1448 nt
Filed under: Sarcophilus harrisii (Tasmanian devil)
Lineage: Eukaryota; Metazoa; Chordata; Mammalia; Dasyuromorphia; Dasyuridae
Description: lncRNA (ENSSHAG00000031519.1)
Source: RNAcentral